UACGAAGGGGGCUAGCGUUGCUCGGAAUCACUGGGCGUAAAGGGUGCGUAGGCGGGUCUUUAAGUCAGGGGUGAAAUCCUGGAGCUCAACUCCAGAACUGCCUUUGGUACUGAAGAUCUUGAGUUCGGGAGAGGUGAGUGGAACUGCGAGUGUAGAGGUGAAAUUCGUAGAUAUUCGCAAGAACACCAGUGGCGAAGGCGGCUCACUGGCCCGAUACUGACGCUGAGGCACGAAAGCGUGGGGAGCAAACAGG
This 253-nucleotide ribosomal RNA is filed under the name uncultured bacterium. RNAcentral's name for it is "partial 16S ribosomal RNA". It matches the Rfam family "Bacterial small subunit ribosomal RNA", at positions 524 to 776 of the family's 1533-position model. The record is from RNAcentral.